This 253-nucleotide ribosomal RNA is filed under the name uncultured bacterium. RNAcentral's name for it is "partial 16S ribosomal RNA". It matches the Rfam family "Bacterial small subunit ribosomal RNA", at positions 524 to 776 of the family's 1533-position model. The record is from RNAcentral.
UACGUAGGGUGCAAGCGUUGUCCGGAAUUAUUGGGCGUAAAGAGCUCGUAGGCGGUCUGUCGCGUCGGCUGUGAAACCUCGGGGCUCAACCCCGAGCCUGCAGUCGAUACGGGCAGACUAGAGUGCUGUAGGGGAGACUGGAGUUCCUGGUGUAGCGGUGAAAUGCGCAGAUAUCAGGAGGAACACCGGUGGCGAAGGCGGGUCUCUAGUACGGUACUGACGCUGAGACGCGAAAGCGUGGGGAGCGAACAGG